Molecule: ribosomal RNA, 800 nt
Filed under: Blepharisma japonicum
Lineage: Eukaryota; Ciliophora; Heterotrichea; Heterotrichida; Blepharismidae
Description: partial Bacterial large subunit ribosomal RNA
Rfam family: Bacterial large subunit ribosomal RNA
Source: RNAcentral
GUAAGUUCCGACCUGCACGAAUGGCGUAACGAUGGCCACACUGUCUCCUCCUGAGACUCAGCGAAGUUGAAAUGUUUGUGAUGAUGCAAUCUCCCCGCGGAAAGACGGAAAGACCCCAUGAACCUUUACUGUAGCUUUACAUUGGACUUUGAACAGAUCUGUGUAGGAUAGGUGGGAGGCUUUGAAGUGCGGUCGCUAGAUCGCAUGGAGCCAACGUUGAAAUACCACCCUGGUGCGUUUGAGGUUCUAACCUAGGUCCAUUAUCUGGAUCGGGGACAGUGCAUGGUAGGCAGUUUGACUGGGGCGGUCUCCUCCCAAAGCGUAACGGAGGAGUUCGAAGGUACGCUAGGUACGGUCGGACAUCGUGCUAAUAGUGCAAUGGCAUAAGCGUGCUUAACUGCGAGACUGACAAGUCGAGCAGAUGCGAAAGCAGGACAUAGUGAUCCGGUGGUUCUGUAUGGAAGGGCCAUCGCUCAACGGAUAAAAGGUACUCUGGGGAUAACAGGCUGAUGACGCCCAAGAGUCCAUAUCGACGGCGUCGUUUGGCACCUCGAUGUCGGCUCAUCUCAUCCUGGGGCUGUAGCCGGUCCCAAGGGUAUGGCUGUUCGCCAUUUAAAGAGGUACGUGAGCUGGGUUUAAAACGUCGUGAGACAGUUUGGUCCCUAUCUUCCGUGGGCGCUGCAGAUUUGAGGAAGCCUGCUCCUAGUACGAGAGGACCGGAGUGGACACACCUCUGGUGUAUCGGUUGUCACGCCAGUGGCAUUGCCGAGUAGCUAUGUGUGGAAGAGAUAACCGCUGAA